Molecule: ribosomal RNA, 253 nt
Filed under: uncultured prokaryote
Description: partial 16S ribosomal RNA
Rfam family: Bacterial small subunit ribosomal RNA
Source: RNAcentral
UACGUAGGGAGCAAGCGUUGUCCGGAAUCAUUGGGCGUAAAGCGCGCGUAGGCGGCCCUGUAAGUCCGCUCUGAAAGUCAAAGGCUCAACCUUUGAAAGCGGGUGGAUACUGCAGGGCUAGAGUCCGGAAGAGGCGGGUGGAAUUCCUGGUGUAGCGGUGGAAUGCGCAGAUAUCAGGAGGAACACCAACGGCGAAGGCAGCCCGCUGGGACGGUACUGACGCUGAGGCGCGAAAGCGUGGGGAGCGAACAGG